UGGGUGAUCUCGCCCUGCACUUCGGGAUAAGCUUGGGAAACUGGGUCUAAUACCGGAUAGGAGCCAUCUUUAGUGUGGUGGUUGGAAAGUUUUUUCGGUGUAGGAUGAGCUCGCGGCCUAUCAGCUUGUUGGUGGGGUAAUGGCCUACCAAGGCGGCGACGGGUAGCCGGCCUGAGAGGGUGUACGGCCACAUUGGGACUGAGAUACGGCUCAG
Molecule: ribosomal RNA, 214 nt
Filed under: uncultured Actinomycetales bacterium
Lineage: Bacteria; Bacillati; Actinomycetota; Actinomycetes; Actinomycetales
Description: partial 16S ribosomal RNA
Rfam family: Bacterial small subunit ribosomal RNA
Source: RNAcentral